AGCUCCAAUAGCGUAUAUUAAAAUUGCUGCAGUUAAAGCGUCCGUAGUCGAACUUAGUCCGUCUGAGGUCCUGAUGGUUUCAACUGUCAGUUCUUUAAGCACGGAAUUUACGGAAAUCUGCUAGACAGGUUUCUGUUCUGUUACUUUGAGUAAAUUGGAGUGUUCCUAGCAAGCUUGUGCAUGUACAUUUCAGCAUGGGAUAAUAUGAAUUCAAUUCAAAUUCAUCAUUUAGGCGGGAUGAAUUAGAUUAUGAUCAAAAGGACUUCGCGGGGAUAUUUGUACUUGCGGGUGAGAGGUGAAAUUCUUAGACCCCGCAAAGACAGUCGACGGCGAAAGCAUUUAUCCAGCGAUUGUUCA
Molecule: ribosomal RNA, 357 nt
Filed under: uncultured eukaryote
Lineage: Eukaryota
Description: SSU rRNA
Rfam family: Eukaryotic small subunit ribosomal RNA
Source: RNAcentral